UACGUAGGGGGCAAGCGUUAUCCGGAUUUACUGGGCGUAAAGCGCGUUAAGGCGGUUGGCAAAGUUGGUUGUGAAAUUUCGGGGCUCAACCCCGAAACUGCGUCCAAUACUGGUCGACUUGAGUACGAGAGAGGAAGGUGGAAUUCCCGGUGUAGUAGUGAAAUGCGUAGAUAUCGGGAGGAACACCAGUGGCGAAGGCGGCCUUCUGGACCAGCACUGACGCUGAGGCACGAAAGCGUGGGGAGCAAACAGG
This 253-nucleotide ribosomal RNA is filed under the name uncultured bacterium. Its description in RNAcentral is "partial 16S ribosomal RNA". It matches the Rfam family "Bacterial small subunit ribosomal RNA", at positions 524 to 776 of the family's 1533-position model. The record is from RNAcentral.